RNAcentral lists this ribosomal RNA (253 nucleotides) under uncultured bacterium. RNAcentral describes it as "partial 16S ribosomal RNA". It matches the Rfam family "Bacterial small subunit ribosomal RNA", at positions 524 to 776 of the family's 1533-position model. The record is from RNAcentral.
UACGGAGGGGGCAAGCGUUAUUCGGAAUCAUUGGGCGUAAAGGGCGCGUAGGCGGCUUGGCAAGUCAAAGGUGAAAUCCCUCGGCCUAACCGAGGAACUGCCUUUGAAACUGCUUGGCUUGAGGCCGGGAGAGGGUAGCGGAAUUCCCAGUGUAGCGGUGAAAUGCGUAGAUAUCUGGAGGAACACCGGUGGCGAAGGCGGCAUCCUGGACCGGCAUUGACGCUGAGGCGCGAAAGCUAGGGGAGCAAACGGG